This 442-nucleotide ribosomal RNA is filed under the name uncultured bacterium. RNAcentral's name for it is "partial 16S ribosomal RNA". It matches the Rfam family "Bacterial small subunit ribosomal RNA", at positions 338 to 795 of the family's 1533-position model. The record is from RNAcentral.
CCUACGGGUGGCAGCAGUGGGGAAUAUUGGACAAUGGGCGCAAGCCUGACCCAACAACGCCGCGUGAAGGAAGAAGGCUCUCGGUUUGUAAACCUCUUUUUACAGGGAAGAGUAGAACACUAUACCUCUCGAAUAAGCCGCGUCUAACUACGUGACAGCAGCCGCGGUAAUACGUAGGUGGCAAGCGUUGUCCGGAUUUACUGGGUGUAAAGGGCGUGUAGCGGGGUGGACAAGUCAGAUGUGAAAUCCCGCGGCUUAACCGCAGAACUGCGUUUGAAACUGUUGCUCUUGAGUACAGGAGAGGUAGGCGGAAUGCCUAGUGUAGCGGUGAAAUGCGUAGAUAUUAGGAGGAACACCGGUGGCGAAGGCGGUUUACUGGACAGUAACUGACGGUGAGGCGCGAAAGCGUGGGGAGCAAACAGGAUUAGAUACCCUUGUAGUC